CAUAAAUGUGAUUUUCCAAUUCUGUUGCCACUAUUAACAGAAAUUUUUAAUAUCAGUUUAUUACAUCUGUAUAACUUGUAAAAUGAUACACUACAAUAGCAAAGACUGAAGUAUUGGCAUUUAUCUGGUAAUAAAUAUGCAACCAGUCACUUUUUUAAAGAUUUAUUCAACCUUGAACAUAUUUUCGAGCCUCAUCUUCAGAUGGAAGUGUUACAGGAACAUUGUUGUGGACCAAGUGUAGCUAGAUGCACUGCUGGUGCUGUUCGCAGAAAUGUCGGAAAUUUAGUAAUCGGCAAUGAAACGUUUACGAAUCUGAAAGUUAUUUUGUUAUAGGUACUUACAGUACACUGCCUUCCGGUAUUCACAUCAGAUUGCUUGUUAUAACAUGCAUUAUUAAGCUAUGUACACAAAUAAACAGUAUGUAGCUACACUUGGUUUUACACAGGCUCACAGGAUGUAAACAUUUGAUGUUUUUACAAAUAUGGAUUUGACAGAUACUACAUAAUAGUCUUUGGCAUGAGAUGCAUUGUAUUAUGGUGCAAAUUUUACUAGUACAGAUUUUACAUUUCAGUAAAUGUUUCUAGCUGCAUACAAAAGGUAAACAGCAAGAGAUGAAUAUUUAAUACAUAAUUAGAAACUACUUUUAAGUUACAGAAUAUAAUAGUCGUUAAACGCCAAGAACAAGAUUGAUGUAGGAAGAUGAAUUAUUGUCAUUUUUAUUGUUCUGGUGCCAGGAUAUCCUGGGAGAAAAGGUUUUGUGUUGACUGUCUGUUGAUUCAGGAGGUUUUGGGAUGAUUUUAGUUUAUGGAUGAAAAUUUCUAACUGUUCAAGGAGGUCCAUCUCUCUUCCUUUCUCAGCAAUGUGUAGCACCGAAAGACUGUCGUUGAUAUCAUCAACCGAGUGUUCAUGAUAAGCAACAUGUGAUGCAAAACUGGACUUAAGUUUUUGAGUUGAAGGGCAUCCAUAUGUUCUUUGUAGCGGGUUGCAAAAUUUCUCCCGCUUUGGCCUUAUGAAGAAGGAAAUACAGUAGCAUGUGAGUUUGUAUAUGCCAAUCUCCAGUGGAUUUGUUACUGUGAACAAUUUUAUUUUGUAGUUUUUCAGUGUGGAAGGAUACUUCUGUUGUGCAGUCUGAAAAGAUUUGCAAGUUUAUAUGACAUUUUUACCAGGAAUGGAAGAUACACCGAUUUUGGCGUUUGUUUCUUAGUUUGUAAUGGUGAUUGCUUGAGUUUACUUUGGAUUCUUUUCAACUAGGGUGUUUAUCAAAGAGGCAUUAUAGCCAUUAUUUUGGGCUAUAGAUUUAAGCAUGUUCUUUCAUUUACAUGCAUCUUCUUUACUGAUAGGGGUGCAGAGCAUACGGUUCACAGAUGACGUGAAGAAAGCAGUUUUAUGUUUGUUCGGGUGGCAUGAGGUAUUUUUAAUGGUAACAUCACUGGUAGUGGGUUUUCUGUAUAUUUGGAAGGUAUGCUUGUUAUUGUGAGUGGAGAUAGUCAUGUUAAGGAAGUUAAUUCCUUCAUUGAUCUGGUGUUCAACUGUGAAUUUAAUAUUUGGGUGCAUUUUAUUCAUUUCAUGUGCUAGGUUAUUUUUUUCUUCUUUUGGACCAUUGAAAAGUAUUAUUGUGUCAUCCACAUAUCUUUUAUAGUACAUAAUUUUGUCAGUAAAUUGUGGGUGUGUUAAGUAGUAGUCUUCUUCCAGAUUAUGUAUAAAUAUGUCAGCAAGGCUGCUGCCCAUCACCAGACCAUUGUUUUGCAUGUAAAACUUGCCAUUAAAUGAAAAAUAGUUAUGUGAGAUGUCCAAUUCCAGCAACAUAAUGAGUUCAUGAAUUUCUGCACUGCUUAGCUAUUUAUAUUAUUGUGUGAGUAUCUGUCCAGGGGAUAUUGGUGUAGAGGUUUACUAUGUCUUUGGAAGCAAACUUUGCUGUGCCUGGCACUAUUAGAUCUUUAAUGCAGUUAAUUAACUCAGAACUGUUGUUAAUUGAAAAGCUGUUUUCAAAUGUGUAAUUUUUUCUUCAGUUGCAUAUUUCUUACCAGGUAAACGCCAAUUUAAAUCAGUUGCAGUUUGUCAUACACAAUGGAUAUACUGAAAUCUACAGUAUGUGAAAUGAGACACUUGUUACAGUAAGGUUAUUCAUAAUUGGUUUAGUAUAUGGGAACUAUACAGGUACUGAACAAAAUUAAAAUGAAGUAUAUCAAAAUUGAACUCAUCAGUUUUACUUGUUGACAGUUCAAAUCAUUUAUAUGAAUUAAGUAAGGCUGGACCAAAAUUAAAAGGUUGUAGCAGCCUGUUUUAGCAAAAGUGAAGCAUGUAAAUAAAUGUUGUUACACCUCAUGUAAUGCUGAAGCAUGUUAUGUAAGUUAUUGAAAUACUUCAACUGUAAAGCCAAAACCAAAUAAAUUAAUUAAAAACCA
Long non-coding RNA from Schistocerca nitens (vagrant locust), 2405 nucleotides. RefSeq lists it as uncharacterized. The record is from RefSeq and is a predicted model, not a curated record. The transcript is spliced from 2 exons. Lineage: Eukaryota; Metazoa; Arthropoda; Insecta; Orthoptera; Acrididae.